AGAGUUUGAUCCUGGCUCAGGACGAACGCUGGCGGCGUGCUUAAUACAUGCAAGUCAAGGAGAAUUUUAUUUUCGAAUAAAUAGUAAACUGGCGAACGGGUGAGUAACGCGUAAAUAACUUGCCUCAGAGAUUGGGACAACAUUGGGAAACCAGUGCUAAUACCAAAUAAUGCAGCGGGCUCUUCGGAGCAUAGUUGUUAAAGUAGGCUUCGGCUUACACUUUGAGAUAGGUUUGCGUCCGAUUAGUUUGUUGGUGGGGUAAUGGCCUACCAAGACUAAGAUCGGUAGCUGGUCUGAGAGGAUGAUCAGCCACACUGGAAUUGAGAUACGGUCCAGACUCCUACGGGAGGCAGCAGUAAGGAAUUUUGCACAAUGGGCGAAAGCCUGAUGCAGCAACGCCGCGUGAACGAUGAAGUUUUUAGGAAUGUAAAGUUCUGUCGUAUGGGAAGAAAUGUUUCAGAUGUUAAUACCAUUUGUUUUUGACGGUACCAUACAAGAAAGCACCGGCUAACUUCGUGCCAGCAGCCGCGGUAAUACGAGGGGUGCUAGCGUUGUCCGGAUUUACUGGGCGUAAAGGGUACGUAGGCUUUUUAAUAAGUUAUAUGUUAAAUAUCUUAGCUUAACUAAGAACGUGCAUAUAAAACUGUUAAAAUAGAGUUUGAGAGAGGAAGGCAGAAUUCAUGGUGGAGCGGUGACAUGCGUAGAUAUCAUGAGGAAAGUCAAAUGCGAAGGCAGCCUUCUGGCUCAAAACUGACGCUGAGGUACGAAAGCGUGGGGAGCGUACAGGAUUAGAUACCCUGGUAGUCCACGCCGUAAACGAUGAGUAUUUGGUGCUGGGAGAUUCGACCCUUUCAGUGCCGUAGCUAACGCGUUAAAUACUCCGCCUGGGGACUACGAUCGCAAGAUUGAAACUCAAAGGAAUUGACGG
RNAcentral lists this ribosomal RNA (928 nucleotides) under uncultured marine bacterium. RNAcentral describes it as "bacterial SSU rRNA". It matches the Rfam family "Bacterial small subunit ribosomal RNA", at positions 8 to 916 of the family's 1533-position model. The record is from RNAcentral.